This 434-nucleotide ribosomal RNA is filed under the name uncultured bacterium. RNAcentral describes it as "partial 16S ribosomal RNA". It matches the Rfam family "Bacterial small subunit ribosomal RNA", at positions 29 to 507 of the family's 1533-position model. The record is from RNAcentral.
AGCGAACGCUGGCGGCAGGCCUAACACAUGCAAGUCGAACGAACCUUUCGGGGUUAGUGGCGGACGGGUGAGUAACACGUGGGAACGUGCCUUUAGGUUCGGAAUAACUCAGGGAAACUUGUGCUAAUACCGAAUGUGCCCUUCGGGGGAAAGAUUAAUCGCCUUUAGAGCGGCCCGCGUCUGAUUAGCUAGUUGGUUGAGGUAAUGGCUCACCAAGGCGACGAUCAGUAGCUGGUCUGAGAGGAUGAUCAGCCACAUUGGGACUGAGACACGGCCCAAAUUCCUACGGGAGGCAGCAGUGGGGAAUCUUGCGCAAUGGGCGAAAGCCUGACGCAGCCAUGCCGCGUGAAUGAUGAAGGUCUUAGGAUUGUAAAAUUCUUUCACCGGGGACGAUAAUGACGGUACCCGGAGAAGAAGCCCCGGCUAACUUCGUG